UACAGAGGGGGCAAGCGUUGUUCGGAAUUACUGGGCGUAAAGGGCGCGUAGGCGGCCCUCUAAGUCGAACGUGAAAUCCCCGGGCUCAACCCGGGAACUGCGUCCGAUACUGGGGGGCUUGAAUUCGGGAGAGGGAUGCGGAAUUCCAGGUGUAGCGGUGAAAUGCGUAGAUAUCUGGAGGAACACCAAUGGCGAAGGCAGCACUCUGGGACGUGACUGACGCUGAGACGCGAAAGCGUGGGGAGCAAACAGG
RNAcentral lists this ribosomal RNA (253 nucleotides) under uncultured bacterium. Its description in RNAcentral is "partial 16S ribosomal RNA". It matches the Rfam family "Bacterial small subunit ribosomal RNA", at positions 524 to 776 of the family's 1533-position model. The record is from RNAcentral.